ACGCUACUUCCCCACUUGACUAGUGCCAUUUAUUUUCGAUUAUGAAAAAAAACAUAGGCCGGCAGGCCGCCAUACGGAGUAGAGUCGCUGAGUCGCAGAGUCGUCGUUGUAGCUAAUCUAGCUUUGCGCUUCGGUUUCAAAAUGUCAAUUUAAACAGUCAAUACUUUAUUAUGUAAAUGUUGACUUUAUUUGUUUGCCUUAAUGGUCAAAACGGUAAUAAAUGCAUUUCUUGUUGCAAAACAAUUUUUUGAAAAAGCCGCUCUUAUAUUCUGUCUAAUCAGAGCAGAGGCACCUCGUAGAAGAAUUGCGUACUUCACAGUUUCGUCCAAGCAACGAAGGAAGGUCGACGAAACGUGCCAUUACUGCCAUCUGAUUUCUUCCACACCAUCAUGUCACACAAUGACUAAUUUUAAGUGUUAACCAUGACACAAUUUUCAAUUUCAUGACAACACAAUUUUUCUUUCUUCGGCUGCCUCGGCAUUGACUAAUUAGUUUCAUAUAUUGACUUCAUCUUGAGCAAUUUGCUUUGAGAGCCUUAACAGAAAACAUGCUGUCAACCUCGAAAACCAAUCCAGCAAUCCCGAGCAAUCCUUUGGAUCAUGCACAAAACUUCAAACCUCAAAUAAAGAAAAGCAGACGACAAACAGAAAAGAAAUAAACGAUGCGCCAUCUAUAUUCGUGAAAUAUAUUCGCCACCUAGCGGUCGAAUGGCAUCUCACGGUAAAAAUUGUCAACUACUGAUCAAUCGUUGGCAACGUAGGACUAUUUUCGAUUUUGGUAGUAAAAUAUUCAAAGUGCUACUUAAACUUUUAAUAAUAAUAAAAAAAAAAAACAAGAUCAUGUAAUCCAUCUUUCGAGUCAAAAUUCAGUACAAACUUAUUGCGAAAAAAAUGUCGCACAUUGCGUUUUUCUCAUCAUUUCCUGCAGCUGAAAAAGAAAAUUGACAAAAUUAAAUCGCAAGUUAGACAUGCUUCAAAUCACUU
This is a long non-coding RNA of Daphnia pulicaria, 983 nucleotides long. RefSeq lists it as uncharacterized. NCBI's taxonomy places the organism in Eukaryota, Metazoa, Arthropoda, Branchiopoda, Diplostraca, Daphniidae. The transcript has 4 exons. The record is from RefSeq and is a predicted model, not a curated record.